RNAcentral lists this ribosomal RNA (466 nucleotides) under uncultured bacterium. Its description in RNAcentral is "partial 16S ribosomal RNA". It matches the Rfam family "Bacterial small subunit ribosomal RNA", at positions 29 to 507 of the family's 1533-position model. The record is from RNAcentral.
ACGAACGCUGGCGGCGUGCUUAACACAUGCAAGUCGAACGGAAAGGCCUCUUUCGGGGGGUACUCGAGUGGCGAACGGGUGAGUAACACGUGAGUAACCUGCCCUUGACUUUGGGAUAACUUCAGGAAACUGGGGCUAAUACCGGAUAGGAGCUCCUGCUGCAUGGUGGGGGUUGGAAAGUUUCGGCGGUUGGGGAUGGACUCGCGGCUUAUCAGCUUGUUGGUGGGGUAGUGGCUUACCAAGGCUUUGACGGGUAGCCGGCCUGAGAGGGUGACCGGCCACAUUGGGACUGGGAUACGGCCCAGACUCCUACGGGAGGCAGCAGUGGGGAAUAUUGCACAAUGGGUGGAAGCCUGAUGCAGCAACGCCGUGUGCGGGAGGACGGCCUUCGGGUUGUAAACCGCUUUCGCUCAUGACGAAGCUUUGUGUGACGGUAGUGGGUAAAGAAGCACCGGCUAACUACGUG